RNAcentral lists this ribosomal RNA (529 nucleotides) under unidentified nematode Sourhope farm. Its description in RNAcentral is "SSU rRNA". It matches the Rfam family "Eukaryotic small subunit ribosomal RNA", at positions 81 to 606 of the family's 1831-position model. The record is from RNAcentral. Lineage: Eukaryota; Metazoa; Nematoda.
GGGAAACUGCGUACGGCUCAUUACACCAGCUAUAAUUUACUUGACCUUGACUUCUUACUUGGAUAACUGUGGUAAUUCUAGAGCUAAUACAUGCACCAAAGCUCCAAUCUCCCCAGAGCGGAGCGCAUUUGUUCGCCACAAAACCAAGCGCCCUCCGGGCGUCCAGUGUUGACUCAGAACAACUAAGCUGAUCGCACGGUCUUGUACCGGCGACGUGUCUUUCAAGUGUCUGCCUUAUCAACUUUCGAUGGUAGUGUACCUGACUACCAUGGUGAUGACGGGUAACGGAGGAUAAGGGUUCGACUCCGGAGAAGGGGCCUGAGAAAUGGCCACUACGUCUAAGGAUGGCAGCAGGCGCGCAAAUUACCCACUCUCAACAUGAGGAGGUAGUGACGAGAAAUAACGAGACCGAUCUCAUACGAGGCCGGUCAUCGGAAUGGGUACAAUUUAAACCCUUUAACGAGUAUCUAUGAGAGGGCAAGUCUGGUGCCAGCAGCCGCGGUAAUUCCAGCUCUCAAAAUGCAUAGAA